This 498-nucleotide ribosomal RNA is filed under the name uncultured bacterium. Its description in RNAcentral is "bacterial SSU rRNA". It matches the Rfam family "Bacterial small subunit ribosomal RNA", at positions 28 to 524 of the family's 1533-position model. The record is from RNAcentral.
GAUGAACGCUAGCGGCAGGCUUAACACAUGCAAGUCGAGGGGUAAUCACGCUUUCGGGCGUGAACGACCGGCGCACGGGUGCGUAACGCGUAUACAAUUUGCCUUAAACUGGGAGAUAGCCCGAAGAAAUUUGGAUUAAUAUCCCAUAAUAUAUUUAGGUGGCAUCAUUUAGAUAUUAAAGUUACGGCGGUUUAAGAUGAGUAUGCGUCCUAUUAGCUAUUAUGUGAGGUAACGGCUUACAUAGGCUAUGAUAGGUAGGGGUUCUGAGAGGGAAGCCCCCCACACUGGUACUGAGACACGGACCAGACUCCUACGGGAGGCAGCAGUGAGGAAUAUUGGACAAUGGGAGCAAUCCUGAUCCAGCCAUGCCGCGUGCAGGAAGACGGUCCUAUGGAUUGUAAACUGCUUUUAUUUAGGAAGAAUCCCCAGUACGUGUACUGGGUUGACGGUACUAAACGAAUAAGGACCGGCUAACUACGUGCCAGCAGCCGCGGUAAU